RNAcentral lists this ribosomal RNA (534 nucleotides) under Euroleon nostras. Its description in RNAcentral is "bacterial SSU rRNA". It matches the Rfam family "Eukaryotic small subunit ribosomal RNA", at positions 1038 to 1470 of the family's 1831-position model. The record is from RNAcentral. Lineage: Eukaryota; Metazoa; Arthropoda; Insecta; Neuroptera; Myrmeleontidae.
GAUGCCAGCUAGCGAUCCGCCAAAGUUCCUCCGAUGACUUGGUGGGCAGCUUCCGGGAAACCAAAGCAUUUGGGUUCCGGGGGAAGUAUGGUUGCAAAGCUGAAACUUAAAGGAAUUGACGGAAGGGCACCACCAGGAGUGGAGCCUGCGGCUUAAUUUGACUCAACACGGGAAACCUCACCAGGCCCGGACACCGGAAGGAUUGACAGAUUGAGAGCUCUUUCUUGAUUCGGUGGGUGGUGGUGCAUGGCCGUUCUUAGUUGGUGGAGCGAUUUGUCUGGUUAAUUCCGAUAACGAACGAGACUCUAGCCUACUAAAUAGACGUACUUUAUUACCGGCAUCUCAAGGCCCAUCGGCUGUAUUGUUACUGAAUGUUAUUUGUAUAUUUUGUUGAUAUAUAUUUAUAAUAUGUAUGAUUGAUAAUAUAUAUUUUUAUUUAAUUCCAAUUAUUUAUUAUAUAUAAUUAUUUAAUCUGCAUUAAUGAUAUAUUUGAAACAUGGUACAUUAACUAAAGUGACAACAGUUUUUUGAUGU